RNAcentral lists this ribosomal RNA (254 nucleotides) under uncultured bacterium. RNAcentral's name for it is "partial 16S ribosomal RNA". It matches the Rfam family "Bacterial small subunit ribosomal RNA", at positions 524 to 776 of the family's 1533-position model. The record is from RNAcentral.
UACGGGGGGAGCAAGCGUUGUUCGGAUUUACUGGGCGUAAAGGGCGCGUAGGCGGCCAGCACAAGUCAGUUGUGAAAUCUCCGAGCUUAACUCGGAAAGGUCAACUGAUACUGUGCGGCUAGAGUGCGGAAGGGGCAACUGGAAUUCUCGGUGUAGCGGUGAAAUGCGUAGAUAUGACAUAGAACACCCAUUGCGAAGGCAGCUAACUACGCGAUCAUUGACGCUGAUGCACGAAAGCGUGGGGAUCAAACAGG